RNAcentral lists this long non-coding RNA (1732 nucleotides) under Sus scrofa (pig). Its description in RNAcentral is "lncRNA (ENSSSCG00070021226.1)". Lineage: Eukaryota; Metazoa; Chordata; Mammalia; Artiodactyla; Suidae. The record is from RNAcentral.
AUGACAGCCACGACCCCGUAUCUCUGGGUGCGCUCUCUCUCUCUCACCUCCGUCGGCCACGGCCCACGCCGGACUCGGGCUCUUUACAAGUUAAUUCGAAACCCGCGACAAACCCAGAUCGGACCAGCCCUGGCCUGUGGUCUGCCCGGCGGGAUGCCAGGCUGGGGGAACCUGCACCCCCAGACCGGGACUCUCCUCUGGGCCCGGGUUCCCCACGCAGAGGAAAGUUGCCGCCCCGUCCCCCGGGGGAGAUGCUGGGCUGCAGCCUGGACAGCCUUCUCGGCGGCGGCGGCGGCGGCGGCGGCAGCGGCGGGCAGGAGGGGAGCCCCGGCUGGCUGCUGGCUGGCUCCCGCGCGCCCUUUCUGCUCCUUCCUCUCUGGCUCUUCCUUCCCCGGGGUCCUCGCCUUCCCGGAGUGUUGGAGCGAGACGGAGACCUCGGCCUUUGCCGGCGGAAGCGUCGCAGCCCUCAGUCAAGGCAGACAUCACUCAAGAGCACCGAGAACAUGGUUCUUCUCAGCAGAGUGCUCUCGACAGCCAGCCAGUACUAAUCUAUCCAGGUUUGCCAUGCUGGCGAAGCUGUUGCGUGGAAAACAAAUCCUCGAGGUGCAUCUGAGAGAAUCAAGGCCCAAGAAGGUGAACUUGCCCAAGACGUGGCAGGUGAGUGCAUCUGUGAACCUACAGCCAGCUUUGGGGAGGUGUUGGGGGUGCCUUCUCAUGUUUGGAACAUAUUGAAGAAGCCCCAUUCAGGGCCUAGAUGGGCCUUUCGUGGACGUUUCGAAGGCAUCACCUUUCUCUCCUGCACAUCUCCCAGGAGGCCCUUGACCUUGUCCUCUCUCAGAGGUGGCCGCGUUUGUGUUCCUUUGUCUGCCUGCCUCUGUUUUGGGGGGAACAUGGCAGACUCCAACCAGGAUUCUCCAGCCCCCAUGGAAGGAAGCAGACCCACGGCCGUGUUCUUCCCUGGGGCCUGGGACCGAGCACCCUCCUUGGAAAAGGAAUUUGGGGCCACGAGCCCCUACGAGGUGCCGUCCUCUGGAAGCAAAACCUGGUUUCCCAUCUUGGACAGAGCUGUUCUGUCCAGAGAUGCCCCAGGUGCAGGAGGGUGGGUGGGGAGGCUGUGCUGCAUCAUGGACCUUAGGUGGGGGGGCUCAGAAGCUCUCUCUCUCCCUCUCCUGUUGGUUCCCCCAUGCAGGCUGGUGGCUGGGAAUGGAAAGGACCUGCCAGGUGAGGCCUGAGCCGAGUUUAGGGCUAGGGGGCCAAGUGAGCAGUGAGGUUUGUUCCUGGGCUCCGGAGGGCAGCAGGCCCCGCUGAGACCCCAGCUGUGUGUCGUAUGGCGGAGGGGGAGGUGGCUGGGCUUCGGGCAGGGGCCUGCUUGCUGGGGGACCGCCUCCCCAUGGAGAGCAGAGCGGCUGGAGGUCGCUUGUGAGAGGCAGAGGUCCUCCCUGGUCUCCAUCCCUCUCUCAUCCCCUCCUCUAAUUUUAUUCUUGCCGUUUUGCUUAUGACACGGAUGCAGCGAAGGCAUCAUGUGACCGGGUUGGCCAGCCCCAAACAUGACCGCCCAAGCCCAGACCCGGAGACCCUUCCCCCGCCGCGCAGGCCUGUCCCAAGGGCCCUGUGCCCCUGCUUGUGAAUUCUGGGCAUCUCAACACUGGCACGCUCCUCCGACCUGCUUACGCUGUUUAACAAAUGCAUUGGGGGACCAGCUCGGAGAUGAGGAUCGGAGGAGAGAAGGCAU